GCCCAGGUGGCGGAAUUGGUAGACGCACCAGAUUUAGGUUCUGGCGCCGCGAGGCGUGGGGGUUCGAGUCCCUUCCUGGGCACCA
This 85-nucleotide transfer RNA is filed under the name Aromatoleum diolicum. RNAcentral describes it as "tRNA-Leu". It matches the Rfam family "tRNA". Rfam says of the family: Transfer RNA (tRNA) molecules are approximately 80 nucleotides in length. Their secondary structure includes four short double-helical elements and three loops (D, anti-codon, and T loops). Further hydrogen bonds mediate the characteristic L-shaped molecular structure. tRNAs have two regions of fundamental functional importance: the anti-codon, which is responsible for specific mRNA codon recognition, and the 3' end, to which the tRNAs corresponding amino acid is attached (by aminoacyl-tRNA synthetases). tRNAs cope with the degeneracy of the genetic code in two manners: having more than one tRNA (with a specific anti-codon) for a particular amino acid; and 'wobble' base-pairing, i.e. permitting non-standard base-pairing at the 3rd anti-codon position. Lineage: Bacteria; Pseudomonadati; Pseudomonadota; Betaproteobacteria; Rhodocyclales; Rhodocyclaceae. The record is from RNAcentral. RNAcentral also lists the same sequence under 13 other names.